Molecule: long non-coding RNA, 457 nt
Organism: Oncorhynchus keta (chum salmon)
Lineage: Eukaryota; Metazoa; Chordata; Actinopteri; Salmoniformes; Salmonidae
Exons: 3
Source: RefSeq, a predicted model, not a curated record
GCUCCACUGACUUGGGACACCUAACAUUUUGUACCCUUUGAACAGCUACUUAAAAAGAUAUACUAUGACCAGGACCUUGGGAACAGCCUCUUCAUGUGGCCAGCUGUUCAUGGCCUCGUCCCGGAUCACAGCAGCUGAAAUCAAACCCAGCUGAUGUGAAAUGGAUUGGAUCCUACUAAGGACCUGAGCCCUAGGACCAUGCUCAGGUCUACCUGACCAGAUGACCCCUGGCUGUCCGUGUCCCCAGUCCACCCUUUCAUGCUGCUGCUCCAGUUUCAACUGUUCUACCUGCAGCUUUGGAACCCUGACCUGUUCACCGGACAUGCUACCUUGUCCUGGACAUGCUGUUUUCAACCCCCCCACUCCACUCACUAUCUCUCUCGCUCUCUCGCUCUCUCGCUCUCUCUCUGUUUUGAAUUCAACAAAAUGUGAAAUAAUUAAAGGGGUAUGAAUACUU